UUUUGUUUUCCCUCUGAUAUUUUUCCUCUGUCUCAGACACAUACCCCAAAUGACCCCAAUCCCCUCUCUCUCCUCUCAGACCCCAAACCUCAAUCCCCAAACCCCGAACCUCUAACCUCUGUAAGUCUCCCUCUCUCUUCUCUCAGACCUCAAACCCCAAACCAUAAACGACUGAACCCCAAACCUCUGUAAGUCUCCCUCUCUCUUCUCUUAGACCGUUCAUCCUCUCGAGCAACGAAGACCUCCGAUCAUCCUCUCGGCAGCUCCAUCGUAGGCGGCGUCCCCACCUCUCCAAUCAUCGUAGGUGGCAGAUGACCAGAGUGAGUUGGAAAGAACAUAAGCAAGAAUAAGUGUUGCUGCUUCCUUAAAUUUCCCAGCCUUCUCAAGAAAAUCUAUCACAACUAGUAUAUCUCAUCUGAGGUAUUGUGUUGCCUCUUGCAGAUGCUGUGCAUUACAAAAAUGAAGAUGUGAUCAAACUUUUAGAGGAACAUGGUGCAAAGCCUCCGAUGGCUCAUCACAUGAACGUUAUAAAUGCACGCGAAGUCCCCGAGUAUGAGAUUGAUCCCAAGGAGCUUGUUUUAUCUCAGAAAAUGAUAACCAAGCCACACCCUCGUGAAGUCACCACAUCCUUCCCUCACUCACGGCCUUACCUCAAUCCCAGCGUGUGCUUCCCCAUUGGCGUGCUCGUUCGCGAUUAGCACACGCCUCACAAUCCUGUUGCGGGAGAAAAAAGCAAGAGAAAGGCAAUCUUAAUGCCAAAGUUGGAAAGAUAGCUGGCCAGAUAGCUGGCCGUGUUGAUGUUAAUGCCCAAAAACGUAUCACUACUCUGGGGGAGGCAUAAUCCUGGGAUACUGACUGAUCAGCAGUCUGUGCUUGCUCAAAGGAGAGGAAAGCUCGCAAUAUAUAGGAACUUGAGCGAAAAGUUCAGACUCUUCACACAGAAGCUACAACUCUAUUUGUCCAACUCACACUCUUCCAGGCUAAAACUCUACUUGGAUAUUUAAGAGAACCAAGACAAUUAUAUAAGAGAACUAAGACAACAAGAAAUUCUUCUUCAAGUUGUUGGGUAUUAUUUUAUUUCUUUCUUGUAAGAAUUAUGUACAUUGAGGAUUUGAUGUGUUAUUUACAUUGAGAAUAAUGAAUUUCUAUUGAGAAUUAUUUAGUCUCAUUGGGAUUUGAUGUAUUAUUUAUAUUUCAAUUGUAUGAGUAAUUGUUGUAUGUAUAUGG
Humulus lupulus (European hop) is the source of this 1227-nucleotide long non-coding RNA. RefSeq lists it as uncharacterized. The record is from RefSeq and is a predicted model, not a curated record. The transcript is spliced from 8 exons. NCBI's taxonomy places the organism in Eukaryota, Viridiplantae, Streptophyta, Magnoliopsida, Rosales, Cannabaceae.